This 270-nucleotide ribosomal RNA is filed under the name uncultured bacterium. RNAcentral describes it as "partial 16S ribosomal RNA". The record is from RNAcentral.
CUGCUGCCUCCCGUAGGAGUUUGGACCGUGUCUCAGUUCCAAUGUGGGGGACCUUCCUCUCAGAACCCCUACGCAUCGUCGGCUUGGUGGGCCGUUGCCCCACCAACUACCUAAUGCGCCGCAUGCCCAUCCGUGACCGGAGUCGCCCCCUUUGGCCGGCAGGGGAUGUCCCCUCCCGGCAUUAUGUUGUAUUAGGCGGGAUUUCUCCCGGUUAUCCAUCUGUCACGGCCAGGUUGCAUACGUGUUACUCACCCGUGCGCCGGUCGCCGG